This 490-nucleotide ribosomal RNA is filed under the name uncultured bacterium. RNAcentral describes it as "partial 16S ribosomal RNA". It matches the Rfam family "Bacterial small subunit ribosomal RNA", at positions 30 to 507 of the family's 1533-position model. The record is from RNAcentral.
UGAACGCUGGCGGUAGGCCUAACACAUGCAAGUCGAACGGCAGCACAGUAAGAGCUUGCUCUUACGGGUGGCGAGUGGCGGACGGGUGAGGAAUACAUCGGAAUCUACUUUUUCGUGGGGGAUAACGUAGGGAAACUUACGCUAAUACCGCAUACGACCUACGGGUGAAAGCAGGGGAUCUUCGGACCUUGCGCGAUUGAAUGAGCCGAUGUCGGAUUAGCUAGUUGGCGGGGUAAAGGCCCACCAAGGCGACGAUCCGUAGCCGGUCUGAGAGGAUGAUCAGCCACACUGGAACUGAGACACGGUCCAGACUCCUACGGGAGGCAGCAGUGGGGAAUAUUGGACAAUGGGCGCAAGCCUGAUCCAGCCAUACCGCGUGGGUGAAGAAGGCCUUCGGGUUGUAAAGCCCUUUUGUUGGGAAAGAAAAGCAGCAGGUUAAUACCCCGCUGUUCUGACGGUACCCAAAGAAUAAGCACCGGCUAACUUCGUG